GACGAACGCUGGCGGCGUGCUUAACACAUGCAAGUCGAACGGAAAGGCCCUGCUUUUGUGGGGUGCUCGAGUGGCGAACGGGUGAGUAACACGUGAGUAACCUGCCCUUGACUUUGGGAUAACUUCAGGAAACUGGGGCUAAUACCGGAUAGGAGCUCCUGCUGCAUGGUGGGGGUUGGAAAGUUUCGGCGGUUGGGGAUGGACUCGCGGCUUAUCAGCUUGUUGGUGGGGUAGUGGCUUACCAAGGCUUUGACGGGUAGCCGGCCUGAGAGGGUGACCGGCCACAUUGGGACUGAGAUACGGCCCAGACUCCUACGGGAGGCAGCAGUGGGGAAUAUUGCACAAUGGGCGGAAGCCUGAUGCAGCAACGCCGCGUGCGGGAUGACGGCCUUCGGGUUGUAAACCGCUUUCGCCUGUGACGAAGCGUGAGUGACGGUAAUGAGUAAAGAAGCACCGGCUAACUACGU
Molecule: ribosomal RNA, 467 nt
Filed under: uncultured bacterium
Lineage: Bacteria
Description: partial 16S ribosomal RNA
Rfam family: Bacterial small subunit ribosomal RNA
Source: RNAcentral